Molecule: transfer RNA, 65 nt
Filed under: Hylaeus dilatatus
Lineage: Eukaryota; Metazoa; Arthropoda; Insecta; Hymenoptera; Colletidae
Description: tRNA-His
Source: RNAcentral
AUUUAAAUAGUUUAAAAUUUAAAAUAAUGAUUUGUGGAAUCAUUGAUGUUUAUUGACUUUAAAUU